UUUAAACUUAAAAUUUAGUAAAAUUAGUAUUAGUUAUUUUCUUGAAAUUUAAAGAUUUUGGCGGUAUUUUAGUCUUUUCAGAGGAACCUGUUCUAUAAUUGAUAGUCCACGAUGAAUAUUACUUAUUUUAAUUAGUUUGUAUAUCGUUGUAGUUGAAUAUUUCAUUAGAAUUUAAAUAUUCAAAAUUUAAUAUAAUAAAUAAAAUCAGAUCAAGAUGCAAUUUAUAGAUAAGAAGAAAUGGGUUACAAUAAAAUUAUUUAUAUGAAUAAGUUUAUGAAAAAAAUUUUGAAGGUGGAUUUGAAAGUAAUAAAAUUAAUUUAAAUUUUAUGAUUUUGGCUCUAAAAUAUGC
Molecule: ribosomal RNA, 349 nt
Filed under: Hydrochus grandicollis
Lineage: Eukaryota; Metazoa; Arthropoda; Insecta; Coleoptera; Hydrochidae
Description: partial 12S ribosomal RNA
Source: RNAcentral